Schistosoma haematobium is the source of this 45-nucleotide non-coding RNA. The record is from Rfam. NCBI's taxonomy places the organism in Eukaryota, Metazoa, Platyhelminthes, Trematoda, Strigeidida, Schistosomatidae.
AUCCAGCUGACGAGUCCCAAGUAGGAUAAGACACGCGUCCAGGAU